RNAcentral lists this long non-coding RNA (213 nucleotides) under Mytilus galloprovincialis (Mediterranean mussel). The record is from RNAcentral. Lineage: Eukaryota; Metazoa; Mollusca; Bivalvia; Mytilida; Mytilidae.
GACCUGGGGUCUUUUGAUUUGAGAUCACUGACCUAUGACCUUAAAAUUGAGGUCAAGGUCAAAGGUCAAUUUGACGUUCUAGAUUUUGACCUUUGCUAAAAAUUAUUUUCUGUUCUUAAUAAAAUAAUUAAGUGUUCUACAUAUACCUUUUAAUCUUAUUUUUUUAUAUCAAUUUGAAGAACUAAAUUACAUCAACAAGGAGUGACAUUUUCU